Molecule: ribosomal RNA, 440 nt
Filed under: uncultured bacterium
Lineage: Bacteria
Description: partial 16S ribosomal RNA
Rfam family: Bacterial small subunit ribosomal RNA
Source: RNAcentral
CCUACGGGAGGCUGCAGUAGGGAAUAUUGCUCAAUGGGGGAAACCCUGAAGCAGCAACGCCGCGUGGAGGAUGAAGGUUUUCGGAUUGUAAACUCCUUUUGUUAGAGAAGAUAAUGACGGUAUCUAACGAAUAAGCACCGGCUAACUCCGUGCCAGCAGCCGCGGUAAUACGGAAGGUGCAAGCGUUAAUCGGAAUCACUGGGCGUAAAGAGCGCGUAGGCGGGUUAGCAAGUCAGAUGGGAAAUCCUAUGGGUUAAACAUAGAACUGCAUUUGAAACUGUUAUUCUAGAGUAUGGGAGUGGUAGGUGGAAUUCUUGGUGUAGGGGUAAAAUCCGUAGAGAUCAAGAGGAAUACUGAUUGCGAAGGCGACCUGCUAGAACAAAACUGACGCUGAUGCGCGAAAGCGUGGGGAUCAAACAGGAUUAGAUACCCGAGUAGUC